GUGGGGAAUAUUGGACAAUGGGGGCAACCCUGAUCCAGCAAUGCCGCGUGUGUGAAGAAGGCCUUCGGGUUGUAAAGCACUUUCGAUGGGGAAAAACAAGUUCGACCUAAUACGUCGGACCCUGAUGGUACCCAGAGAAGAAGCACCGGCUAACUCUGUGCCAGCAGCCGCGGUAAUACAGAGGGUGCAAGCGUUAAUCGGAAUUACUGGGCGUAAAGCGUGCGUAGGUGGUUUGUUAAGUCAGGCGUGAAAUCCCUGGGCUCAACCUGGGAACUGCGCUUGAUACUGGCAGACUAGAGUGUGGUAGAGGGUAGUGGAAUUCCGCAUGUAGCAGUGAAAUGCGUAGAUAUGCGGAGGAACACCAGUGGCGAAGGCGGCUACCUGGACCAACACUGACACUGAGGCACGAAAGCGUGGGGAGCAAACAGGAUUAGAAACCCCAGUAGUCC
RNAcentral lists this ribosomal RNA (449 nucleotides) under uncultured bacterium. RNAcentral's name for it is "bacterial SSU rRNA". It matches the Rfam family "Bacterial small subunit ribosomal RNA", at positions 354 to 796 of the family's 1533-position model. The record is from RNAcentral.